This 29-nucleotide non-coding RNA is filed under the name Mus musculus (house mouse). The record is from RNAcentral. Lineage: Eukaryota; Metazoa; Chordata; Mammalia; Rodentia; Muridae.
UGAGCUGGACUACAUACUCUGUGCUGAAG